AGUACUUCUCUGAAUAGUAAAGUGGUGAGUCAGUAUUCUACACUUCUAGCUCCAUUAGCAGUAGAUGCGGUUCUCUCUGUAGUGGACCCGGCCAAGCCCGAUUUGGUGGACUUGAGGGAUGUCAGGAUAGUGAAGAAGCUUGGUGGAACUGUGGAUGACACGGAGAUGGUUAAUGGUUUAGUCUUUGAUAAGAAAGUGAGCCAUGCAGCUGGUGGACCUACACGAGUUGAGAAUGCUAAGAUUGCUGUGAUUCAGUUCCAGAUUUCUCCUCCAAAGACUGACAUUGAGCAGAGCAUUGUGGUUUCAGAUUAUACCCAGAUGGAUAGGAUUUUG
Molecule: long non-coding RNA, 333 nt
Filed under: Manihot esculenta (cassava)
Lineage: Eukaryota; Viridiplantae; Streptophyta; Magnoliopsida; Malpighiales; Euphorbiaceae
Description: long non-coding RNA (MESC_LNC005685)
Source: RNAcentral